AGCCUGCCCAGUGACUUAGUUCAACGGCCGCGGUAUCCUAACCGUGCGAAGGUAGCGUAAUCACUUGUUCUUUAAAUGAGGACUAGUAUGAAUGGCAUCACGAGGGCCAUACUGUCUCCUUUUUUUAAUCAGUAAAACUAAUCUCCCCGUGAAGAAGCGGGGAUAAGUAUAUAAGACGAGAAGACCCUAUGGAGCUUUAAACAAACUAACAAUUGUUUCAAAAACUCUACUUUCAGAAAUACCACAAAAAGCAUAACAUUUUGAUUUAAAAUUUUAGACUGGGGUGAUCACGGAGUAAAAAAUAACCUCCAUGCUGAAAGGUAAAAAUCCCUGAGCAAAAAUCCACAACUUCAUGCACUAGAAAACUAACAUAAAUUGACCCAAUAUUUUGAUCAACGAACCAAG
This 405-nucleotide ribosomal RNA is filed under the name Boana hobbsi (Hobbs' treefrog). RNAcentral's name for it is "partial large subunit ribosomal RNA". It matches the Rfam family "Bacterial large subunit ribosomal RNA", at positions 1856 to 2461 of the family's 2925-position model. The record is from RNAcentral. Lineage: Eukaryota; Metazoa; Chordata; Amphibia; Anura; Hylidae.